Molecule: ribosomal RNA, 434 nt
Filed under: uncultured bacterium
Lineage: Bacteria
Description: partial 16S ribosomal RNA
Rfam family: Bacterial small subunit ribosomal RNA
Source: RNAcentral
AGCGAACGCUGGCGGCAGGCCUAACACAUGCAAGUCGAACGAACCUUUCGGGGUUAUUGUCGGACGGUUGAGUAACACGUUGGAACGUUCCUUUAUGUUCGGAAUAACUCAUGGAAACUUGUGCUAAUACCUAAUGUGCCCUUCUGGGGAAUGAUUUAUCGCCUUUAGAGCGUCCCGCGUCUGAUUAGCUAGUUGGUUGAGGUAAUGGCUCACCAAGGCGACGAUCAGUAGCUGGUCUGAGAGGAUGAUCAGCCACAUUGGGACUGAGACACGGCACAAACUACUACGGGAGGCAGCAGUGGGGAAUCUAGCGAAAUGGGCGAAAGCAUGAAGAAGCCAUGACGGGUGAAUGAUGAAGGUAUUAGGAUUGAAAAAUUCUUUCAACGGGGAAGAUAAUGACGGUACCCGGAGAAGAAGCCCCGGCUAACUACGUG